GGCGGAUCCGGGGCCGGCUUAGGUCGGAAACGAGCGGAGGAGCUGCGGCGGUGCUGCACGGCCAACGGCGGGGCCUCACGGUGGCGGAGACGAGCUCCGGCAGCUCUUGCGCGAGCUGAACAGCAGCUCGGGAUGCCGGCCAAGCGCGGGCGAGCGCGGGCGGCGGCGGAGCGCGAUACGACGGGCGACGACGGCAGUCCUGGCUUCGACGGCUUCGGCUGCUCCGGUGACCAAACGACGGCGGCGGCAGCAGCUUGACGGAGGGGCAGGAGCUCGGGGCCACACGAACGAAAGCUGGAGGCGGCAGAGGCGGUGCGACGACGAGCGGCCACGGUGCGCGGGCGACGCGC
RNAcentral lists this long non-coding RNA (350 nucleotides) under Eucalyptus grandis. Its description in RNAcentral is "long non-coding RNA (EGRA_LNC006891)". Lineage: Eukaryota; Viridiplantae; Streptophyta; Magnoliopsida; Myrtales; Myrtaceae. The record is from RNAcentral.